Molecule: transfer-messenger RNA, 163 nt
Filed under: Synergistaceae bacterium
Lineage: Bacteria; Thermotogati; Synergistota; Synergistia; Synergistales; Synergistaceae
Description: partial transfer-messenger RNA
Rfam family: transfer-messenger RNA
About the family: Bacterial tmRNA, also known as 10Sa RNA or SsrA, is named for its dual tRNA and mRNA-like properties. Its role is to liberate the mRNA from a stalled ribosome.
Source: RNAcentral
GGGGACGUAUGGUUUCGACAGCAGGUUGGAGGAUCGGGAGGAGCGGGUCGAGGAUGGGGAAUCCUCGUUAAUCCGGCUCCAAAACAAUAAUCGUCAAUAACGAUUACGCACUCGCUGCUUAAGUAAGCGGCGCGCUCUCUAAAGCUUCCGUCAUCGGGCUCUA